AUAUAACUUGUCUUUUUAGAUGAAAAUUACAUACUGCAGCUUUGACAAUAAAAUAUUCAGUGAGCUGAGAUCCUAGGAUCCAUCCUUCAGUAUAAAAGAUUCCUGUGGCAAAAACUGAAAGUCCUACAAAUUUCUUUUUUUAAAAGGACUUGAAAGAAAGCAGUUCUUGUGAAAGGUCAACUGUGGUGUGUUGGUGUUCACUGCUACCACUUCCAGAUGUGUUUUUCUGAAUAAUUACACAGUCACACACACCGUUAUUUAGACCCCCCCUGUGCCUUCAAGAGUUGGAAGGGUCAUCAAACAGUGCAUAGAAAUCAAAAUAACUUUGGCAUUCAGGAGCUUAAGAGUUCUCCAGUCCAGUCGGAUUUUUUUUUUUUUUUUUUACCAAGUUGGAUGUUGGAAAUUCCUCAGCUGCAGAAAAGAAAAAAAAAAAGAGAGAGAGAAAAGCGUGAGACAUGUCGUGUCAUUCAGAGCUCAUUCAUGUCUAAUUACCAUGGCACUAAACCAUUUUCUUAGCCUUUGUGGGCCUGUUGAGAGGAUGGCCGGGCCCACGCUCUCCCAUGCGCACAGCUCCAGCAUCCUCCUCCUGCUCCUUCGGCAAACCCAACAGCAGCGGCGGCGGCGGCAGCAGUCACACAGAAUGAAUGGAGCUGCCUCAGGAAUGCAGACACAAAGGGAGGAAUGUCAUUCUGCCAAGUGCCCCUUAUUCCAAACCAAACCAAAGGGACAUGUGCACGCACACACAGAAGCACCUCACAAGUCCAGGCAUGUUCAAAUCACAGGGGGUGAAAAGUCUUAUGAUUUUUCUUUCCCUCCUCCGCCCCCACUAUAACUGAAUACAAACAUCAACUUUGUGCCCAAUAAUUUUUGUACCUUUGAUGCAUUUUUCCUCCCCCCUAUUAUUAGACUUUAUUCUGUCUUGGUGUUCCCAGUCAAAAAAAGGUGCUAUUAUUGGUAGAGCUUUGAAUAGUAGGUUGUGGUUCCUUUAUAUGCCAGUGACUCAUUCUUCAUAUUUUAUGAAUAAAACUUAAUACUGUCUGGAAAAAUAAAAAUAAAUCAUUGAUAAAUUAGGGCAAAGAUCUACUUUUAGCAAAGGUCUACUUUUAGCACCUAUUUAGCAUUUUUCUCUACCAUUAGACUUUAUGCGGACGACACCUUGGUAUUCUGAGUUUAUCAUUAAAAAAAUGCUAGUACUUAUAAAACAUUGAAUUGUAGAUUGUGGUUCCUUCACACAGUAGUGAUCCAUUCUUUACUGGUAUAUAAAGAAUGGAUGCUAACUAAAACUUAGCAUUAUGUGAAAAAGAUUUUGUGCUAAAAGUAGGACAAAGGUCUACUUUUAGCACUAAUUUAACAUUUUUCCCUAUUUUCAUACUUUAUGCAGAUGAUACCAUGGUAUUCUCAGUGUCUCACCAAAAAAAGAUAUUAUUCAUAAGGUUUUGAAUAGUAGGUUGUGAUUCCUUCUUAUGCCAGUAAUUCAUUCUUUAUAUUUUAUAAAUAACACUUGGCCCUAU
Long non-coding RNA from Poecilia latipinna (sailfin molly), 1511 nucleotides. RefSeq lists it as uncharacterized. Lineage: Eukaryota; Metazoa; Chordata; Actinopteri; Cyprinodontiformes; Poeciliidae. The transcript has 2 exons. The record is from RefSeq and is a predicted model, not a curated record.